AAGACUGUACUUUCAGGGAUCGGUUCUAUAGUUCAUUGCUACAGAGGUUCUAUAGUUCAUUGCUACAUUUCUCUGAUCAUGUGGAGCACCAGAACCAUGAGGAGGAGGCACAGCGUUCUCUCCUGAGCAUGAAGCUUGGUGUUGCAUGGUGUUGCUUCCCUGCAGUGGCCAUUUGCCAUGGAUGAUUGUUCUUGCUUUCCCUGGGGGGAGCAAGAGGGAGAGGACACAGUCUGAAUGGG
Molecule: small nucleolar RNA, 239 nt
Filed under: Carlito syrichta (Philippine tarsier)
Lineage: Eukaryota; Metazoa; Chordata; Mammalia; Primates; Tarsiidae
Description: Small nucleolar RNA U3 (ENSTSYG00000035609.1)
Rfam family: Small nucleolar RNA U3
About the family: Small nucleolar RNAs (snoRNAs) are involved in the processing and modification of rRNA in the nucleolus. There are two main classes of snoRNAs: the box C/D class, and the box H/ACA class.
Source: Rfam by way of RNAcentral